UUUAAAAUUGUUUUAAGGUCCCAUUUCAUUAUACCUAGUGAUUCCACAUGAUCAGAAUAGAGAAUUAUUUCGGGUUAACAACCACGAUUCACUUUAGGCCUUUAUUGCUUUUAGGCGACUUGAAUAUAAUCUGAAAUAAAAUGCUACAACUGCACUACACACUCGAUUAAAAAGAAAUUUUGGAAAUGUAGUUAUAAUUUUACCACUUUAAUACAUUUUUUCUUUAUUAUAGACAUAGAAAACGUUUAUUUCUGUUGCCACAGACACUAAUAACAUUAAUAACAUUAACAUAUAAAGCAUUAAAACAAUAUUGAUAUUACACGUGCAUACAAGCAUAAUGCUAAAAGAAUUAGUGUGCUGCAGCAAGGCAUAAAGGCCAUCACUCAGUGAACUUUCUGCACAUUAGUACAAAAACACUGAUUUUCAGUUAUUGCCAUCAAUGUAAGCGCGAGCGCUAAGUUAUAAAAAAAUAAUAAUUAUAUUAAGCGGUCUACACACCAAAGCCGCUGACCCGGCGGCACGGAUCGCCGGCCCAACCCGCCGGCCUUAUUUUGUACAAUCAUGCCGCCGGCUUGCGCCCGCGCGGGCAAGCCGGCGGGGCAGCAUGCCGAUGCCGACGGCAUCCCUCUCCACUCACUCAGUCAGUUGCCCGCCGGCUUUCAUAGAGUAGUGACGUAUCACUUAUUCAUUCUCUGUUGUUGUGAAGUGUCGGCACUUUUAUUUUUAUCAACUAACCAAUAUGGAGUGGGACGAUGCAACAGUUAUAAAACUAAUAGACCUCUAUCAUUUAAAAGAAAUAUUAUGGAACCCAAAAAACCGUGACUACAAAAGCCGGCCAAAGCGUUACGACGCAUUUAAUGAAAUUGCCAGUGAAUUUGCUACUGAUGUUCCGGAAAUCGAGAGAAAGAUAAAAAAUUUAACUAGUCAUUAUUACCGAGAGAAAAAAAAGAAGAUAAUUCAAAUAAGUCUGGUGCGGGUACUGAUGGUAUUUAUCAUAGUAAAUGGUUUGCCUACAAAUCACUAAAUUUUCUGCGGAACAAAAAUGUGCCUACUGGAACCACCGAUACUGACACACCGUCGACGAGCCACGAUUCACAAUCGAGACGAGAAUCACAAUCAAAUCAAAAUGAUUUACCACAGAUGUCACCAGGAGAUUCACAAUCAAAUCAUAAUGAUUUACCACAGAUGUCGCCAGAAAAUACAACUUGGCAACGAAAUAAACGUCCUAAAAUCAACCCUAAUAAAGAGUUGAUAUCCGAAGCAUUGAAUAUUAUGAAGAAUGUCUCCCAACGACCAAAUGUGACAAAAGAUGAGGAUGGUUUAUUUGGAGAUUAUAUUGCGGGUCAGUUAAGACAAAUGGAUCGACAAAUGAAAGCUAUUGUGAGACAUCGGAUCAACAAUAUAAUAUUUGAAGCCGAAACUGGAUAUAGAUCCGAUACAUUUACGGAUUUUGCAAGACCAAGUAGUGUUUCUAGUUCACACAGUCAUCCAGGAUACUAUACAGCAUCUUCACUACAACAGGCGGUUGUAAGCCCUUCUACAAAUAACUUAACUUCUUCUGAAUACUCUGCCCAAACAAACUCAGAUCCACAAACAAUUCAACCUUCGUCACUAGAAACAUUUGCUGAAGAAUACCUAGCUCUAAAUCCUUCUGAUAGUGUUAUAAAGUAAUCUUCAAAAUAUGUUAUAAAUAUUUAAUUUUCUUUUUGGUAUAAUAAAGGUAGCUAUAGGUAGCCCCAUUAAAGUUAAAUUUAAAAUUAGUGUUGACUAUUCCCUUCACACGAGUAGAGCUUGACAUAUGUGCGUAAGGAAUAGCAAGGUUUUAAUUUUAGUUUAGUGACACUUCUACCAAUAGUUAAUAUCAUGUUAUUGGUUUACAAAAACACAUUUCUUAUUUUGUUUAAAAUUUUAUUAUACGAAUCACAAUAAAAGUGUAUCUCACUGUGUAAUUUACGAUUUUAGAUUUAAUGGAUAAUACAUGGAACUACUUUAAUGAUUAAAAAUAAUAUUGAUUAUAUGAGUUGAGUUAUUGGUUAUAUUGCCAUUCUAAUCCUCCGACACUAGAAAGAAAAUAAUGAGUCAACUCCACUCUUGUAUCCUCAGCGGUCACUGUAGUAUCCGAGGUUUGAUUGUCUUCUCCUGACAUAUUAUCUAAGCAACUGUCGUUUUCAAGAUGUCUACGCCAUUCACCGGGAAAGAUUUCUCCUUGAUUAUUUUCAGUAUCGUAUUCAUUUUGCUGAGUUGCAGCGGUUCGUUUGAUAUAAUUAAAUAAAUGUAUACACGCCAAAGUUACAGUAGUAGCUUUUUCUGGGAUUAGCUGAAUAGGUCUAUGAAAAAUCUUAAAUUUGUGUGUUAACUGCCCAAACACGUUUUCAACUACUCUUCGCCCUCGACAUACGCGAUAGUUAAAAACCCUCUUAGAUGAUCCCAUUGUGUGAUUACCAUCAUAAGCCUUUAUAAUAUGGGGUUGCAGAGGAAACGCGUCAUCACCCAAAAAAAAAUACGGUACUG
Molecule: long non-coding RNA, 2511 nt
Organism: Plodia interpunctella (Indianmeal moth)
Lineage: Eukaryota; Metazoa; Arthropoda; Insecta; Lepidoptera; Pyralidae
Exons: 2
Source: RefSeq, a predicted model, not a curated record